This 722-nucleotide ribosomal RNA is filed under the name Bacillus sp. (in: firmicutes). RNAcentral describes it as "bacterial SSU rRNA". It matches the Rfam family "Bacterial small subunit ribosomal RNA", at positions 62 to 764 of the family's 1533-position model. The record is from RNAcentral. Lineage: Bacteria; Bacillati; Bacillota; Bacilli; Caryophanales; Bacillaceae.
UCGAGCGAAUGGAUUAAGAGCUUGCUCUUAUGAAGUUAGCGGCGGACGGGUGAGUAACACGUGGGUAACCUGCCCAUAAGACUGGGAUAACUCCGGGAAACCGGGGCUAAUACCGGAUAACAUUUUGAACCGCAUGGUUCGAAAUUGAAAGGCGGCUUCGGCUGUCACUUAUGGAUGGACCCGCGUCGCAUUAGCUAGUUGGUGAGGUAACGGCUCACCAAGGCAACGAUGCGUAGCCGACCUGAGAGGGUGAUCGGCCACACUGGGACUGAGACACGGCCCAGACUCCUACGGGAGGCAGCAGUAGGGAAUCUUCCGCAAUGGACGAAAGUCUGACGGAGCAACGCCGCGUGAGUGAUGAAGGCUUUCGGGUCGUAAAACUCUGUUGUUAGGGAAGAACAAGUGCUAGUUGAAUAAGCUGGCACCUUGACGGUACCUAACCAGAAAGCCACGGCUAACUACGUGCCAGCAGCCGCGGUAAUACGUAGGUGGCAAGCGUUAUCCGGAAUUAUUGGGCGUAAAGCGCGCGCAGGUGGUUUCUUAAGUCUGAUGUGAAAGCCCACGGCUCAACCGUGGAGGGUCAUUGGAAACUGGGAGACUUGAGUGCAGAAGAGGAAAGUGGAAUUCCAUGUGUAGCGGUGAAAUGCGUAGAGAUAUGGAGGAACACCAGUGGCGAAGGCGACUUUCUGGUCUGUAACUGACACUGAGGCGCGAAAGCGUGG